CACACAAACUUAUAAUUCUCAUUUCUAUAUUCAUGGCUAAACAGCCAAAUUCUGCCCUACUUCUCUUAACAUUUUUCUUGAUUUUUACACAUGUUCUAGCGCGACCACUCAAUAAUCAAAAUCAUUUGCAAGACGAUGAAACUCCACCACGUCCCAUCCAAAGGAACAUUGAAGCUUUCAAGGCUUUUCAGGUUAGCGUCAAGAACUCUGGUCCGAGUCCCGGAGAAGGCCAUUCACAUCAAAAUGGCUUACACAAUUAAAAGCAUAUACGGCAUGUCUGGGAUCCAUCAAAUUUUUUUAUUUUUUGUUUAUGUAAACCAUUAAAUUUAAGUUACUAUUUGCAUUAUUUCGGACCAGGUUUAGUAUGUAAUAAGA
This 375-nucleotide long non-coding RNA is filed under the name Olea europaea (common olive). RNAcentral's name for it is "long non-coding RNA (OEUR_LNC011004)". The record is from RNAcentral. Lineage: Eukaryota; Viridiplantae; Streptophyta; Magnoliopsida; Lamiales; Oleaceae.